CUGUCUCUAAAUCAUGCAUAUGUGCCUUUCCUUUUUCUUUUAGAUUGUGAAAGGAGAACUUAGUUGAAAGGCAAACAGGAGUAAAAUGUUCCAAGGACCACACUUAACUAAUUCCCCAGCAAAUCAUGUAUUAAGUAUCGCCACUAUGUUAAUAAUACAGUAGGUAUUCGAAUGACCAAAAUUUAGGUCCAAAUUACUUAUAGAAAGACAAUCUUGAGUUAGUAACAUUUUGUUUUACCUUCCAAUAGCAAUAUUUGUCAUUAAAUGCAUCUCAACUUAAGAAACAUGUGAUCCCAAUAUCAAGGUAUUUUACUAUUUUAAGCUUGUCAAUUCCAACUUGUGAAACAAUUAUUAAUUUAGUUAAGUAGAUUGACAUAUGAAUUGAAGAAGCCCACUCUUAGUGAAAUGUUUAUAAGUUACUGGUGAACUCAAACUCAUUCCCAUUCCACAAAUCAAUGCUAUCUAAGAUAACAUGUCUUUAAAAGGCAAAAAUGGACUAACAAGAGGAUAUACUGUUCCGCUACAGUCACUUUGUUUCAGGUUUCCCAGUUCUACACUCCCUAAAAACCGUUACUCUCGGUGCACAAAAGAGUAAGAAAGAAUGUUUCCCUCUAGACCAAGUCAACUGAUGUAUAUUGGUCCUGAAAUGUUGUUAUAUUUCUUUACCAUAAGCACUAUUUAGUCUCAAAGGAGCUGCAUGUUGUACCAGUUUACCUUCCCUUAUCCUGUACCUGGUUGCUAGCAGCUCAUUCAAUGAGAAAGAGUCACUAUAAUUUCCCCCCAAAACUUAAAAAAAUCUCGUGUGAUGCUCAUUUAAUGAGGAGAAUGUUACAAUAGCUUUCCUCCUAAAUUCUGAUCUUCUCCACAGUUUAUGCAAAUUGCAGUAGGAGAUGCUUAUGAGUUCCACCAUAUGCUCCAAACCCACGUCAAGCUUUAGGACAUGGACCUUAUUGGUGUGUGUACCUGCAACAAGUCAUUCCUAUUAUGUUUUUAAAUUUUAUAUACCGAAGAGUCAAAGAAAAUGUAAUAGGUGUACUUUCUAGGGCAAUACAACUUUCCAAAUAAGUGAAGUUAAAGGGAAAGGAUCAAAGGAGUGAAGUUUUUAGUGAAGAACCUUCUUUAACAGACACCUCCUGAGUUUUGGAUCACAUAGUGUUACUAGAGCUAAUGAACUAUAUGAUGAUACAUAACAAAGCUUUGUAAUGCAACUGCUAUUUUCUGUUAGGUUCAGUGCCAAGUCUGUUAAGUUGCUAUCAGGUCAUUUGUCCUUCAUGAUCUCUAAACUGUAUGAUGUUUGAAAGUAACACUGACAAAUCAUUGAUUUUGUUGCUGUCAAAACUAAGUUUUUUCCACAGCAUGGCUUGUUGGUCUUUUCUAUUUCUUAUUGUCUAAGAUUUAUGCCCUAUUGAAUACAAUUUCCUGUCUGAAACCUAUUUAAUGUUGGUAUCCUAGGAUCACCUCAUCAGAUUUCUCUCUUUUUAGAGCUGAUCCCGCGACCGUUUGGUUGGAUGGAUUAGAGAAAUAAUCUCAACAUAAAAUUUAUCAUAUGUUUGAGUUAAAGAGAUUAAAAAAUAUUUUCUGCAUAACUUAUGCAUCAUUUAGUAUGUCGCAUAUGAAAAUAAUGCAUGUAUAAUUUUGUGCAGCGUUUGGUUGAUUGUGUUAAAUGAAAACUGCAUUAAAUUAUGUGGGAAUUUGUACAUUGUUUUAUGUAUGACAGAAUGUGAAAUACGAAUACGUGUAAUGUUUAUCAGGGGGGUUAAAGUAUUUAAAGAUUCUACAUUAGGUAGAAUUUUCAAUUAUGGGAUUAGUAAUCCCGGGAUUGUUCAUACCACAAUUGUAAUAUUAAUUUUACACCAUACUCCAUGUGGGAUAAUCCCGGGGUUGAACUACAAAAUGACACAUUUGCCCUUACCCAAAGCUUUUCUUCCAGAGAUUUUUAAGCAAACCAAGGUUAAAGUUGGAAAUGAAAGUUUAUCCAAAUUAUC
Long non-coding RNA from Solanum stenotomum, 1985 nucleotides. RefSeq lists it as uncharacterized. The transcript has 2 exons. The record is from RefSeq and is a predicted model, not a curated record. NCBI's taxonomy places the organism in Eukaryota, Viridiplantae, Streptophyta, Magnoliopsida, Solanales, Solanaceae.